This 488-nucleotide ribosomal RNA is filed under the name uncultured bacterium. Its description in RNAcentral is "partial 16S ribosomal RNA". It matches the Rfam family "Bacterial small subunit ribosomal RNA", at positions 30 to 507 of the family's 1533-position model. The record is from RNAcentral.
UGAACGCUGGCGGCAGGCCUUACACAUGCAAGUCGCGCGGUAACAGGCAGCAGCUUGCUGCUUCGCUGACGGGUGGCGGACGGGUGAGUAAUGUCUGGGAAGCUGCCUGAUGGAGGGGGAUAACUACUGGAAACGGUAGCUAAUACCGCAUAAUGUCGCAAGACCAAAGAGGGGGACCUUCGGGCCUCUUGCCAUCGGAUGUGCCCAGAUGGGAUUAGCUUGUUGGUGGGGUAACGGCUCACCAAGGCGACGAUCCCUAGCUGGUCUGAGAGGAUGACCAGCCACACUGGGACUGAGACACGGUCCAGACUCCUACGGGAGGCAGCAGUGGGGAAUAUUGCACAAUGGGCGCAAGCCUGAUGCAGCCAUGCCGCGUGUAUGAAGAAGGCCUUCGGGUUGUAAAGUACUUUCAGCGGGGAGGAAGGGAGUAAAGUUAAUACCUUUGCUCAUUGACGUUACCCGCAGAAGAAGCACCGGCUAACUCCGUG